CCUGACACUGAAACUCUGAUAGCCUCCAUGGAUGACAUAUGACCUCAUAAUAAUUAAAUAUGUGUAGUAUGCUCGUGUAAUCAUAUGUCGUGAAUACAUAUAUUGAUGAAAAUACAUGAUAUACCCAAUCAAAUGCUAGCAGCGACGGUCUCUUUCGGUAGCUAACCGGUAUCAUAUUGCCAACUUGUGGCCAUCUGUACAAUAUAAGAUUUUCGGGCAAAUAGGCCCCUUGCCUCCGAUUAUAGCUUGAAGUCCAUGCAUAAUAUACCAUGUAUGAUAUGAACUUUGAAUGCUCAUAAUAGGCCAUAACAAGAACUUAGCCAAUCUUGGCUCAUAGGUACUCUUAUUCCCAUGAUCUCAUAAUCACCUUCGUAUCGCAUACAGUUGUCUCGUGGAACCUCAUAUGUUUUCUUUUCUUUUGAAUAAGCUUGAAAACUUAACUCGACUUUUAGAGAGAUAACUCAACUCAGAAGAUGUUCAUAAAAAGCUUAAGGUGCUUCACUUAGUCCUUAUAUCUGAUUUCUUGUUAUUUAAUAAAAGAAAGUAUAUCCAAAAAUCAAGUGUUUUAGUAGUUUAAAUAAAAAUUUAUAUUUGAGAUUAUUGGAAAUCGACAUGUCACUUCAGAGAUUUUAAAAUACACUUUAACAAGGAAGAAUGACUGAUCGCAAAUACUAAAUGCCUUUAUUUUUUUUAGUUACACUACCCAAAGACGAAUAAAAAUUCAUA
RNAcentral lists this long non-coding RNA (726 nucleotides) under Nicotiana benthamiana. RNAcentral's name for it is "long non-coding RNA (NBEN_LNC014697)". Lineage: Eukaryota; Viridiplantae; Streptophyta; Magnoliopsida; Solanales; Solanaceae. The record is from RNAcentral.